GCGAAAGCUAGUUGCAUAUCGACUAUGUCGGAUAAAGUUCUAGGUAGAAUUAUGAUAAUGACAUUAUCUGCCUAUGUGUCUUGACCAAAUUACGUGCCAGCAGUCGCGGUAAUACGUAGAAGACUAGUGUUAUUCAUCUUUAAUUGGUUUAAAGGGUACCCAGACGGUAAAUCAAGCACUAGUCUACUAGAGUUACUUACGAUGGGGCUUAAAGUACUAACGGUGUAGAGAUGAAAUGUUUUGAUACCGCUCUCGACGGCACAGGUAUGGGCGAAAGCAUCCCUUUAUGUGAUAACUGACGUUGAAGGACGAAGGCUUUGAAGCAAACAGGAUUAGGUACCCUAUUACCAAGCAGAAAAUGAUGAAUGUCAUAGAUUAGACAGUUUCUUCUAUAAAUGAAAGUGUAAGCAUUCCACCUCAAGAGUAAUUUGGCAACAUUGGAACUGAAAUCAUUAGACCGUUUCUGAAACCAGUAGUGAAGUAUGUCGUUUAAUUCGAUAAUCCGCGUAAAACCUUACCACAAUUUGAAUAGAUAUGUAU
RNAcentral lists this ribosomal RNA (540 nucleotides) under Lecanora flavopallida. Its description in RNAcentral is "SSU rRNA". It matches the Rfam family "Bacterial small subunit ribosomal RNA", at positions 408 to 996 of the family's 1533-position model. Lineage: Eukaryota; Fungi; Ascomycota; Lecanoromycetes; Lecanorales; Lecanoraceae. The record is from RNAcentral.